GACGAACGCUGGCGGCGUGCUUAACACAUGCAAGUCGAACGGAAAGGCACUGCUUUUGUGGGGUGCUCGAGGGGCGAACGGGUGAGUAACACGUGAGUAACCUGCCCUUGACUUUGGGAUAACUUCAGGAAACUGAGGCUACUACAAUAUAGGAGCUCCUCCUGCGGGGAGGGGGUUGGAAAGUUUCGGCGGUUGGGGAUGGACUCGCGGGUUAUCGGCUAGUUGGUGGGGGAGUGGCUGACCAAGGCAUUGACGGGUAGCCGGCCCGAGAGGGUGACCGGCCACCUUGGGCCUGCGGUACGGACCAGACUCCUACGGGAGGCAGCAGUGGGGAAUAUGGCACAAUGGGCGGAAGUCGGAUGCAGCAACGCUGCGUGCGGGAUGACGGCCUGCGGGUUGUAAACCGCUUUCGCCUGAGACGAAGCGGUAGUGACGGUAAUGGGUAAAGAAGCACCGGCUAACUACGUG
This 468-nucleotide ribosomal RNA is filed under the name uncultured bacterium. RNAcentral's name for it is "partial 16S ribosomal RNA". It matches the Rfam family "Bacterial small subunit ribosomal RNA", at positions 28 to 507 of the family's 1533-position model. The record is from RNAcentral.